Gasterosteus aculeatus aculeatus (three-spined stickleback) is the source of this 522-nucleotide long non-coding RNA. The record is from Ensembl. NCBI's taxonomy places the organism in Eukaryota, Metazoa, Chordata, Actinopteri, Perciformes, Gasterosteidae.
CCUAAGGGACACUUGCUGGCUGCUCGGUGCUGCCAGGAUCCAGACAGUCCGGUUUCCUUUUCUGUGCAAGUCAGUCAGACCUCCUCAACUCCCCAACUCCCCGAGCCCCCGUCACUCCUACCUCCGCCUAAUUACCAAACCUAAAACCCCACUCCACUAAUUAGCCACAGCAGACCCAAGAACUGUGAGUAAAGACAGGAGCCCUAACGCUGCAGGAUGGAGAAAGGUGAACAGGAAACAGAAGGUGCCCAUGGAGGAGGUAUAUGACAUCUGUCAGGAUCCAGGGUGGGUGGAGGAUUCAGCGCCCCCCCCCCACACCCCCCCCCACCGCCGGCUGAGGGUCACCCAUCGCACCGCAGUCGCUGAAGUUGUCACGACACCCUGACACUUCCUUGGCAAUGGUGGCCGCAAGCCGGACAGCCUCGGACGUUCAAGACACACACGUCAGCUGCCACGGCAAGGUCGACAAACAAACAAACAAACAAACAAAGAAACAGAAGGAAUUAGUAGAGAGAAAAAACA